Neopsephotus bourkii (Bourke's parrot) is the source of this 1002-nucleotide long non-coding RNA. RefSeq lists it as uncharacterized. The record is from RefSeq and is a predicted model, not a curated record. The transcript has 3 exons. NCBI's taxonomy places the organism in Eukaryota, Metazoa, Chordata, Aves, Psittaciformes, Psittacidae.
AGUAUGGAGCUGAUGGUAUUCUCUCCUGUAGCACCAGAAAUAUAGGUUGAGUAUGCGACAAGAGCUGCGUUGAUUCUUUAAGAGAAAAUGGAAAAAAUUAUCCACAUGUAUCAGGUAUUCCAGCACUAACUACAGCCUAAGCAGGGAUGGUCUUCUAUUUUCUUACUACUAAUUUUGUUUAAUAGAGUUUGUUAUUGAGAGAUAAUAGUGGCUUUUUUGUUUGCUUUUUUUUUUAGUUUUGUCUAAAUUACAGUCUCACUACAUCAUUAAGGCUGAGCCCCAUUGCCAUAAGAUUAUUGACUCUGUGUGUGUGUGUUAACAAGCAGAAAAUGCUAAUCAAUUACAUCAAGUAGCUUCAUGGCUUAUUGGUUGCUUUUCUGAGAGGAAAUGACUUUCAGAAGGAUGAUUUUGACCAGCUGGUAAUAUAGCAGAGCAUUUUAAGAGAGCUUUUAUAUUGAUUGUACUUUUAAUAAAUGGUAUUAGAUGCUUCAUGUAAUGGAAGGCAACAUUGAAUUUAUAAGGUAGGUGUUUUAAUGGUUUUAUGUAUUGCCACCAAAGUUUGGUUUUGUAUUUUUUUAUAUCUAUGAGGUGACGUCUUUAUCAGCUGCCAAGUACAUCAGUGCUAUUCUUUGCUGAACUGUCCCAUUUGAUCCUUGAUAGGUAUGCAAAAUGGAAUAGAAAAAGAAACAGCUCUGUUCUGAAUUGCUGAUAAACUUUCCAAACUUUACAGAUGAAAAAGCACUUGAAAUUCACCUGUAAACUCACUGACAGUGGUCCAAGAAGGCUGGCUAAUAAAAAUGCCACCAUAAUUGCACAAGGCUGCAUCAGAGAGCAAGGGUGAGGAGGGGCAGAAAUGUCUACCGGCAUUGCGAGUCCUAGAAGCUGUGCUGUGUUUUGUCUCAUAUUCUGAAGCUUGUAGCUGACCUUACUUUAAGGUGACCUUACUUACAUUUGAAACUAAAAAUCUGCUGUGAGCUACAGCCCCCUAGGGAACAAAAGAUA